CCAUAGGAAGGCUCCAUGGCUUCUACUGCCUCUGGGGCAGGGUUGUGGUCAAGGCCCCAGCAGCCCAUGAACUGAUUUGCCAGCCCCAUCAGAGAAUGAAAUGUUCACAACUGCCUGAGUGAGCCCUGCAGCCAGAGGGACACCUAUGCCCCCUAGGUCCCAGAUGAAGUCUCCAAAGGAAGCCCCCAUGGAUUACAGUGCCCCAGGUGCAAGGGCUGUGGUCAAGGUCUCAGUGGCUCACAAGCUGCUGCUUCUAGCCCCUUUGGCAAAGCAAAUCUCUGUGA
This is a long non-coding RNA of Lepus europaeus (European hare), 284 nucleotides long. RefSeq lists it as uncharacterized. The record is from RefSeq and is a predicted model, not a curated record. Lineage: Eukaryota; Metazoa; Chordata; Mammalia; Lagomorpha; Leporidae. The transcript is spliced from 3 exons.